GUCCACGCCCUAAACUAUGAUUACUCGAUGUUGGCGAUACACAGUCAGCGUCUAAGUGAAAACGUUAAGUAAUCCACCUGGGGAGUACGCCCGCAAGGGUGAAACUCAAAAGGAAUUGACGGGGGCCCGCACAAGCGGAGGAGCAUGUGGUUUAAUUCGAUGAUACGCGAGGAACCUUACCUGGGCUUGAAAGUUAGUGAAUCUCGCAGAAAACGCGAGAGACCGAAAGGACACGAAACUAGGUGCUGCAUGGCUGUCGU
RNAcentral lists this ribosomal RNA (260 nucleotides) under uncultured bacterium. RNAcentral describes it as "partial 16S ribosomal RNA". It matches the Rfam family "Bacterial small subunit ribosomal RNA", at positions 793 to 1055 of the family's 1533-position model. The record is from RNAcentral.